GGCUUCCAUCAAUCAACUAUGCUGAUCUAAUUUAGUUGGAUGUUUCUUACUCACAUUGACACAAUCAGUUAACUAUCACAGAAGGACGGGUGCUACAUGAUCUCCUUCAUACAGAGGCUAAAAAGAUGUAGAGAGAGAGAAGUAGGGAGAAUAGUGGUCAUCAGACGUUAGGAAGGGCUAUUUUCCUCCCUCUGCUUCCUGGCAGCCAUGAAGUGAGCAGCUUUUCUCUGCCAUGCCUUUCUCCCACAAUGUUUCUGCCUUAGAACCAACUGAAUAUGGACUGAAACCUCUGAAACUGUGAGCCAAAAUACACCUCUCCUUUUUUUGUUGUAUAUGUUAGGUUAUUUUUCCCCCCAGCAAUAGAAAGGUGACUAAUACAUAAGGUAACUUAAUUUACAACAAUUUAUUAUAUAUUUCAAAAUCACUCAGAGGAGUUUGAGUUUGAAGUUUCUCAACACAAAGAAAUGAUAAAUAUGUGAGGAGUGGAAAAUGCUAAUUACCCUGAUCUUAUCAUUUACACACCAUAUACAUGUAUCAAAUUAUUGUACUCUACUUCCAAAAUAUGUACAAUUAUUAUAUGUAAGUUAAAAAUAACACUGUUUUUGUCAUUUUUGAGACAGGGCCUUGAUAUUUUUGAGACAGGGCCUUUGAGACAGUUCCAAACUGGCCUGGAACUUGUGGUGAUCAUCCUGCCUCAGCCUCCUGAAUGGUUUAAUGAACAUAAAGAGUUGGGUGAGGAUGCAGUCAGCACUUGAGGUAGUUCACACACAUGACAGUGGGAGUUGGAAAAUUACCCCUUGAGCCUCUGUUCAGUCCAAG
Heterocephalus glaber (naked mole-rat) is the source of this 819-nucleotide long non-coding RNA. The record is from Ensembl. Lineage: Eukaryota; Metazoa; Chordata; Mammalia; Rodentia; Bathyergidae.